This 982-nucleotide unclassified non-coding RNA is filed under the name Hevea brasiliensis (rubber tree). Lineage: Eukaryota; Viridiplantae; Streptophyta; Magnoliopsida; Malpighiales; Euphorbiaceae. The record is from RNAcentral.
GGGGGAAGAGAUUCCUAUCAACCUGGAAAAUGAAGUCACAAGGGAAGCAAUAACUUUAAAAGAAAACCUGAUCUUUUGCUUGUAUCAGCUGUUCAUAUCCAUUAUAACUUACCUGCAAACUUGUCAAUAUUCAUGCCUUGUUAACAUUAUUGAGACAAUUGUUCUAAAAGGAAGAGAUGAUACAAAAUAAUAGUCAAUUGGUUACCAUUAAAGUUUUACGUGCAACAUUUUAAUUCAGUCUAACUUAAUGGCAACUCAAAAAGAUGUGUGAAUUGUGCCUGGUGGGAGAGAUAAAUAUUGUAGAAUUAUUCACAGGUUGUAUGCCCCAUUAUAUUGACUAUUAUAGCUAAUCCUUCAGUUUGGUCACAAGUGCAUACAAUGCAAUCCCAGCAUACCAACAACAUUUAUGAUUUAAUAUUUAAUGUCUAGCAGGACAAAGAGCCGGAUAGGCUAACAGCUCUUUCCACAAUUGUAUCUCUGGGCACCUUCGUCGACAUCUGUUAAUAAGAAAGCAUAUUGCAGAAAGGAAUGUAUUUUAACAAAGCUGAGAAGAUCAGUCUUUAACCAAAGCUUUUGGGUUUUAUUAGCUUAUCUACUAGUUCAUAAUCAAUCAACUACUCACCAGAUGUGAUAGAAAACAGCAGGUUAGAUGCCUUGGUAAUAGGUUUCAGUUGCCAAUUGUAAGAGAUCCAUCUCCACAGGUGCUGCAUUUAUGUUAACUUGGUUUGCUAUCAAACUUUGUUGGGUCUUAGGAAAAAGAAAUUCUGUGGAUAUCAUAUUGCAUUAUUUUGAAAUAGAGGGAAUUCAUGUGUGUGCAAGGAAUUCAAAUGAUAUGAGCUAUGAAGCACACAAAGUGAGAGCCAUACAGAGCAGAACUUUUAUUUUCUUACCUCUUCUUUCCACUAUUUGUCAAAUUAUGUUGUCCUUAUUUUGUGUAGCACUUGGAAAUAUCAUUCAUGUGCAUAUUUUUGAAAAGUCAUGC